CAGUCGCCGCGGGAAUACGGAGGGAGCUAGCGUUGUUCGGAAUUACUGGGCGUAAAGCGCGCGUAGGCGGUUACUCAAGUCAGAGGUGAAAGCCCGGGGCUCAACCCCGGAACUGCCUUUGAAACUAGGUGACUAGAAUCUUGGAGAGGUCAGUGGAAUUCCGAGUGUAGAGGUGAAAUUCGUAGAUAUUCGGAAGAACACCAGUGGCGAAGGCGACUGACUGGACAAGUAUUGACGCUGAGGUGCGAAAGCGUGGGGAGCAAACAGGAUUAGAUACCCGCGUAGUCCCUGUCUCUUAUAU
This 301-nucleotide ribosomal RNA is filed under the name uncultured bacterium. Its description in RNAcentral is "partial 16S ribosomal RNA". It matches the Rfam family "Bacterial small subunit ribosomal RNA", at positions 509 to 809 of the family's 1533-position model. The record is from RNAcentral.